GCAGGAUGGACGCGUUGGCUGUCAUGAUGUAGGACCUCCUGACCUAGAACCAUGCCCGGCGCAGGGAGAACAACGAGCUUACGGACCGGGUGCGGGGGCUGCUGUGCGAGAAAGCCUACCUGCUGGCCCGGGAGCGUUCGCCGGCCCACCUGGUGGCUUUCCCUGGACGUUUAACGGCGACUCCGCCCGGCCUCCCGACUUUUUGAUGCAGGCGUUCUCUUACAUGACUUUCUUCGAGGCUAGAUUCUCGAAAGACAUCCUGAAGGUGGCUUUCUUAAUUAGCUGCCUCACCGGCUGGCGGAGCAGUUCGUAGUCGCCUACAUCGAGAGGGAGAGCCCCGUCCUGGCUCAGUACUGGGGCUUCGUGGACGCGCUGUAGCGGGUCUUCGCCGUCGUGGGUAGGAAACAGUCGGGCCGGAUCCCCGGUGUCUGGGGAGCGGCUGCCGGCCGGGCCCGCGCGAGCCGCUUCACUCCUACAAGCCCGGCUCACUAGUUCCAAGCUGCUGGACUUUGACCCUCGCUGGGAAGCUUGAUCGCCGCCUGUUCUCGCCAAUCUCUAUGCCUUUGCACUGCCCAGCAACCCGGUCACUGCCCAGGACCUGUUAAAAGUUGAAUGGACCUCCCAGAAUCACGCCGCUGCCACCGCCGUUUCUAGAGACGGCUUUUGGCCACCUUUGAGAAUCAGGGUCAAACUUGGAAGGGCCUGCAUUUGUCACACUUCCUCGGACACUAAUUUGGAUAGUUCAGGCCCAGAGACGGCUUCCCGGGUUAGUGUGCCUGACAACACUGAAGAAAAAUUGUGACAUUUUCCUUCCCCAGAAUUACUUCGUUUUAUACAUUUCACUUCUCUUCUGAAAUCACAGCAAUGCCAGUUUGCGCCUUUUGGUCUGAGGAACGCAGGCCCUGGCCACUACCAGGAAAAAGUAUUUACUUUUAAAACUUGAAUGUAUAUCUUUACCGUAUGCCUAGUACAGUAGUGCUUGGAAGAAACAGAUUAGUAAGACAAAAUAUAUGUCUUCAAGAACACUUACGUUCUGAGAAAGAAUUCUGAAUGCAGAUUCUAAUGUCUGAUCCUUUGCACAUGGCCUGCUAUCAACAAUCCUCUACAAUGAUUCUCAGCAUCACCUAGGGAGCUUAUGUAAAAUCUCAAAUUCCUGGGCCCUAUCCCCAGAGUUUCUUAUCAAGUAAGUCUGCAUUGGGAUCUGAGGAUUUGCAUCUCUAACAAAAAUUCCUAGGCGAUGCUCACACUGUUGGUGUAAGGUUUCCUUGAUGGAGAACUAUCAAAGCAGUCAAAGCUAUCAAAAUAAAAAAGAAUUCUGAUUGGGUGCAGUGGCUCACACCUGUCAUUCCAGCACUUUGAGAGGCCAAGGUGGGCAGAUCACAUGAGGCCAGGAGUUCAAGACCAGCCUGGCCAACAUGGCAGAAACCCCAUCUCUACUAAAAAUACCAAAAUUAGCCGGGCAUGGUGGAACACACCUGCAAUCCCAGCUACUCGGGAGGCUGAGGCAAGAGAAUCGCUUGAACCUGGGAGGCAGAAGUUGCAGUGAAACAAGUUGGUGCCAAUGCAUUCCAGCCUGGA
This 1578-nucleotide long non-coding RNA is filed under the name Homo sapiens (human). RNAcentral's name for it is "LHRI_LNC283.10". The record is from RNAcentral. Lineage: Eukaryota; Metazoa; Chordata; Mammalia; Primates; Hominidae.